RNAcentral lists this small RNA (151 nucleotides) under Theobroma cacao (cacao). RNAcentral describes it as "sRNA Tc04v2_g006490". Lineage: Eukaryota; Viridiplantae; Streptophyta; Magnoliopsida; Malvales; Malvaceae. The record is from RNAcentral.
GAAAAUUGGUGGAUUUCAAGUAAUCAAGCAAUCAAAGGUGGUGAGCCCUCUAACAAGGGCAAAGACGUUGUGUCAGAGGACUGAGAAUAGGAGGAUUUCAAACUCCUGUUACAGCUCAAGAUAGUGGGUAGAUAGCUCAUUUCGUUGAGGG